Choloepus didactylus (southern two-toed sloth) is the source of this 127-nucleotide small nuclear RNA. The record is from RefSeq and is a predicted model, not a curated record. Lineage: Eukaryota; Metazoa; Chordata; Mammalia; Pilosa; Megalonychidae.
GUGUUAUAUGAAAGGAGAGAAGGUUAGUACUCCCCUUGACAAAGAUGGAAGAAGCCCUCACGCCUGCACAACACACAUACAGUCAAGGCAUUGCCACCUACUUCGUAGCAUCUAACCAUCAUUUUUU